ACCCAUAGGAUAGCUCAGUUGGUUAGAGCAUGGUGCUGAUAAUGCCAAGGUUGCAGGUUUGAUCCCCAUAUGGGAG
Molecule: transfer RNA, 76 nt
Filed under: Podarcis lilfordi (Lilford's wall lizard)
Lineage: Eukaryota; Metazoa; Chordata; Lepidosauria; Squamata; Lacertidae
Description: tRNA.Ile
Source: RNAcentral